Molecule: long non-coding RNA, 563 nt
Filed under: Serinus canaria (Common canary)
Lineage: Eukaryota; Metazoa; Chordata; Aves; Passeriformes; Fringillidae
Description: lncRNA (ENSSCAG00000010666.1)
Source: RNAcentral
CCAGUCCUGAGCAGCAGCUCCUGUUUGCAGAAUACAGAGCCCGUGAUUAAUCCUGGCCAUAAGGAUGAUUCAGGAUGAAACUGCGAAGCAGAGCAAAACCUUUUUUCUGCCUCCUUCAACUCAGUGGACUGAGCUCCUCUGUGGAUUUCACUCCAGGGAGCCGUGGAAGAGCUGGCCUGUUCUCAUGGAGCAACCUGCAGGAAGACAUAACAAAGACUAACAGAACUCUGAAGUAGAUGACCUGCAGCCACAUUAAUAAUUGAUCAUGUUAGCAGUUGAUGAGUUGUGCUAAAUUGAUCUGUGGCGAGAUAAUGUGAAUUAAAAGCUGCUUAAAUAUUUAGUUUUGGGCUCUUUCUAAAUGGCAGGAAUUUGAACUAAAGGCUACACAGGAGUCAUGACUGGAAUCAACUUUUCAAUGCAGAUGGAUGCCAUUAGAAAGGUUUUUACUUCGAAUGUGUGCGGCUUGUCCACAUGGCUGAGAUUAGUGCUCAAUGCUCAUAUAAUGCUUUUCAUCCUCCAAAGGACUUUACAAGCUCCAGCCCUCAAAACACCCCCACAAGGUA